Long non-coding RNA from Manacus vitellinus (golden-collared manakin), 1254 nucleotides. RefSeq lists it as uncharacterized. Lineage: Eukaryota; Metazoa; Chordata; Aves; Passeriformes; Pipridae. The transcript has 11 exons. The record is from RefSeq and is a predicted model, not a curated record.
AUUAUUCACACAAAUUCUGGGGCAGUCUUCUGGCUUUUAAAUACUUCCUCGAGUGACUUGGUGAAAAAUGAGGAGCCAAGCAGGGUGCUGUUAGAAGCAAUGAGCCUUGUGAAAGCACUCAGAUGCCAUCCUGAUAACAGCCCGAGAAAAGCUCACAAGAAAAUCAGCAAUUGUGUCUCCCAAGCAGAUAUAAGUCAUGCACGUGCAAAAGGAUACCUGUACCUAAAAAGAAACAAAAUCUGAAUUCCAAAAUGGAUGUUGUUCAAUGAAAUGUGCAGGAUCUUAAAUCUUGGCUCUGCUGAAGAGAUGCUUCUUGGUGCCUGGAUUCUGGAGUAUCUUCUCAGUGGAAAGGAACAUGGAGUUCCCAAUUCCCUCACAUGGUUUCUGAUGCAAGUAAAGGAGUUUGCAGAUCUGAAGAUCUUUUUGAGGUGUGAUGUUCCUGUGGUGCUGUUCUCGCUCUGGGCAGUGAUGCACAGCAGGGACUUAUCCAGAUGGUCUGAGGAGGAGCCACCUCACCAGUGUAAGACUGUAAGAGCUUCUUCACCCUGUUUUGGUCCAAGUUCCUGAGCUGGUAUCUCUGCACAACGUGUUGCUCAUCAAACACCCCAGCUGUCCUCAGUAACGUUGCUGCUGUCAGCCAGCCAGUAACCUCUGCUCUGGCCAUCAAACAUCACCACUAAAAGUUCAAGACAGAUCUCCCCUCUAGUGUCACACAGAUCUGGCCCUUCCUUUCCUGGAGCCUGUCACACAGUGAUGGGACCCGACUGCCUCCUGGGCACCACACGGUUCCCUGCAUUUCAGAAUCUCAGCUGGAUCCUGGAUAGCUGGACACAACUGCUUCCCUGCCCUGAAACUGGAGCAAGAAGAGCCAGGACACCACCCCCAUGCCCUGCUUGUCCUGGCAGAGGGAGAGGAUGCUGUUUGCCUGAACGUUCCCUUCAGUGUGCAGCAGGUCUAAAGAUGUGACAACCACUUUGGUAUGUCCUCUGCCAUUCUGUGUGACACAGACCACUUGGGAAUUUGCAACCCUGACGAAUUGCCCCUUACAAGAUUCCUGCAGGAAGCACACAGAAGAACAAAACUUUGGAUUAUGCCUGUGAUGGGAAAAGCUGCAGCGAUGACUGACUGGAAAGGCUGAUCCUUCUCACACCAAAUACCACUGCCUUGCCACCAGAUGGAGGCAACACGUUCAGCUGCAAAACCAAAAGCAGGACCCAGCAGGUCCCGACCUGCGGCGACAGGGGCGGCUCUGCC